RNAcentral lists this transfer RNA (65 nucleotides) under Dipodomys ordii (Ord's kangaroo rat). It matches the Rfam family "tRNA". Rfam says of the family: Transfer RNA (tRNA) molecules are approximately 80 nucleotides in length. Their secondary structure includes four short double-helical elements and three loops (D, anti-codon, and T loops). Further hydrogen bonds mediate the characteristic L-shaped molecular structure. tRNAs have two regions of fundamental functional importance: the anti-codon, which is responsible for specific mRNA codon recognition, and the 3' end, to which the tRNAs corresponding amino acid is attached (by aminoacyl-tRNA synthetases). tRNAs cope with the degeneracy of the genetic code in two manners: having more than one tRNA (with a specific anti-codon) for a particular amino acid; and 'wobble' base-pairing, i.e. permitting non-standard base-pairing at the 3rd anti-codon position. Lineage: Eukaryota; Metazoa; Chordata; Mammalia; Rodentia; Heteromyidae. The record is from Rfam by way of RNAcentral.
GGUGGCUCAGUGGUAGAGUGCUUGCCUUGCAUGCAUGAGGCCCUGGGUUCAAUGACUCAGCACCA